CUACGGGGUGCACCAGUGAGGAAUAUUGCACAAUGGGGGGAACCCUGAUGCAGCAACGCCACGUGGAGGAUGACGCAUUUCGGUGUGUAAACUCCUUUUAUAUGUCAAGAAAAUGACGGUAGCAUAUGAAUAAGCACCGGCUAACUCCGUGCCAGCAGCCGCGGUAAUACGGAGGGUGUAAGCGUUACUCGGAAUCACUGGGCGUAAAGGACGCGUAGGCGGGUUGGAAAGUCAGGUGUGAAAUCCUACAGCUUAACUGUAGAACUGCACUUGAAACUUCUAAUCGAGAGUAUGGGAGGGGGAGAUGGAAUUAGUGGUGUAGGGGUAAAAUCCGUAGAUAUCACUAGGAAUACCUAAAGCGAAGGCGAUCUCCUGGAACAUUACUGACGCUAAGGCGUGAAAGCGUGGGGAGCAAACAGGAUUAGAUACCCCUGUAGUC
RNAcentral lists this ribosomal RNA (439 nucleotides) under uncultured bacterium. RNAcentral's name for it is "partial 16S ribosomal RNA". It matches the Rfam family "Bacterial small subunit ribosomal RNA", at positions 339 to 795 of the family's 1533-position model. The record is from RNAcentral.